ACGAACGCUGGCGGCGCGCUUCACACAUGCAAGUCGAACGGAAAGGCCUGCUUUCCCUUGUGGAUUGCGGGUACUCGAGUGGCGAACGGGUGAGUAACACGUGAGUGAUCUGCCCCCAACUUGGGUAUAAGCCUGGGAAACUGGGUCUAAUUCCCGAUAGGACUGCAGGGUGGUGCCUGUGGUGGAAAACGAUUUUCUAGUGGUUGGGGAUGAGCUCGCGGCCUAUCAGCUUGUUGGUGGGGUAAUGGCCUACCAAGGCGGCGACGGGUAGCCGGCCUGAGAGGGUGGACGGCCACAUUGGGACUGAGAUACGGCCCAGACUCCUACGGGAGGCAGCAGUGGGGAAUAUUGCACAAUGGGCGGAAGCCUGAUGCAGCGACGCCGCGUGGGGGAUGACGGCCUUCGGGUUGUAAGCUCCUUUCGACCGCGAGGAAGCCACCUGGUUGGAAGGGUGGUGACGGUAGUGGUAGAAGAAGCACCGGCUAACUACGUG
Molecule: ribosomal RNA, 493 nt
Filed under: uncultured bacterium
Lineage: Bacteria
Description: partial 16S ribosomal RNA
Rfam family: Bacterial small subunit ribosomal RNA
Source: RNAcentral